UACGAAGGGCCCAAGCGUUAUUCGGAUUCACUGGGCUUAAAGCGUACGCAGGCGGGCCUGUAGGCAUCGAGUGAAAUCCCUCGGCUCAACCGAGGAAUUGCUUGGUGAACCACAGGUCUUGAGACAGGUAGAGGCGGUCGGAACGCUCGGUGGAGUGGUGAAAUGCGUUGAUAUCGAGCGGAACGCCGAAGGAGAAAUCAGGCCGCUGGGCCUGUUCUGACGCUGAGGUACGAAAGCGUGGGGAGCGAACGGG
RNAcentral lists this unclassified non-coding RNA (253 nucleotides) under uncultured Phycisphaeraceae bacterium. RNAcentral describes it as "contains 16S-23S intergenic spacer region". It matches the Rfam family "Bacterial small subunit ribosomal RNA", at positions 524 to 776 of the family's 1533-position model. Lineage: Bacteria; Pseudomonadati; Planctomycetota; Phycisphaerae; Phycisphaerales; Phycisphaeraceae. The record is from RNAcentral.